Molecule: transfer RNA, 66 nt
Filed under: Gynaikothrips uzeli
Lineage: Eukaryota; Metazoa; Arthropoda; Insecta; Thysanoptera; Phlaeothripidae
Description: tRNA-Leu
Source: RNAcentral
UCUAAUAUGACAGAAAAUGUAAUGAAUUUAAGAUUCAUAAAUGAAUUAAAUAAAGUUCUAUUAGAA